AUUAUUUUUGGCUGCGACGUUUGUCACCCCAUUGAUUGCCAGGGUUGAUUCGGCUGAUCUGGCUGGCUAGGCGGGUGUCCCCUUCCUCCCUCACCGCUCCAUGUGCGUCCCUCCCGAAGCUGCGCGCUCGGUGGAAGAGGACGACCUUCCCCGAUAGAGGAGAGGACCGUUCUUCGGUCAAGGGUAUACGAGUAGCUGCACUCCCCUGCUAGAACCUCCAAACAAGCUCACCUUUAAAUUUUUUUAUUCCUUGUAAGGCUGUUGUAAAAAUUCAAUUAAAUUAUGUAAAUUACAUAGAAAAGAGUAGGUCCAAUACUAUCUUU
This 323-nucleotide small nuclear RNA is filed under the name Neogale vison (American mink). RNAcentral describes it as "Neovison vison (American mink) 7SK RNA (ENSNVIG00000003540.1)". It matches the Rfam family "7SK RNA". From Rfam's summary of the family: 7SK was discovered as an abundant small nuclear RNA in the mid-70s but a possible function has only recently been suggested. Two independent studies have found that 7SK RNA binds the CDK9/cyclin T complex (known as elongation factor P-TEFb). The record is from RNAcentral. Lineage: Eukaryota; Metazoa; Chordata; Mammalia; Carnivora; Mustelidae.